GUGGGGAAUAUUGCGCAAUGGGCGAAAGCCUGACGCAGCAACGCCGCGUGCGGGAUGACGGCCUUCGGGUUGUAAACCGCUUUCAGCAGGGAAGAAGCCGCAAGGUGACGGUACCUGCAGAAGAAGCACCGGCUAACUACGUGCCAGCAGCCGCGGUAAUACGUAGGGUGCAAGCGUUGUCCGGAUUUAUUGGGCGUAAAGAGCUCGUAGGCGGUAUGUCGCGUCGGAUGUGAAAACCCAAGGCUCAACCUUGGGCCUGCAUCCGAUACGGGCACACUAGGGUGUGGUAGGGGAGACUGGAACUCCUGGUGUAGCGGUGAAAUGCGCAGAUAUCAGGAAGAACACCAAUGGCGAAGGCAGGUCUCUGGGCCAUUACUGACGCUGAGGAGCGAAAGCGUGGGGAGCAAACAGGAUUAGAAACCCCUGUAGUCC
RNAcentral lists this ribosomal RNA (432 nucleotides) under uncultured Acidothermus sp. RNAcentral's name for it is "bacterial SSU rRNA". It matches the Rfam family "Bacterial small subunit ribosomal RNA", at positions 354 to 796 of the family's 1533-position model. Lineage: Bacteria; Bacillati; Actinomycetota; Actinomycetes; Acidothermales; Acidothermaceae. The record is from RNAcentral.